UACGUAGGGGGCAAGCGUUGUCCGGAAUUAUUGGGCGUAAAGAGCGUGUAGGCGGCUCGGUAAGUCCGCUGUAAAAGUCAAAGGCUCAACCUUUGAAUGUCAGUGGAUACUGCCGGGCUAGGGUCCGGAAGAGGCGAGUGGAACUCCUGGUGUAGCGGUGGAAUGCGCAGAUAUCAGGAAGAACACCAACGGCGAAGGCAGCUCGCUGGGACGGUACUGACGCUGAGACGCGAAAGCGUGGGGAGCGAACAGG
RNAcentral lists this ribosomal RNA (253 nucleotides) under uncultured bacterium. Its description in RNAcentral is "partial 16S ribosomal RNA". It matches the Rfam family "Bacterial small subunit ribosomal RNA", at positions 524 to 776 of the family's 1533-position model. The record is from RNAcentral.